RNAcentral lists this unclassified non-coding RNA (293 nucleotides) under uncultured fungus. RNAcentral describes it as "partial contains 5.8S rRNA, ITS2 and 28S rRNA". It matches the Rfam family "Eukaryotic large subunit ribosomal RNA", at positions 668 to 959 of the family's 3401-position model. The record is from RNAcentral. Lineage: Eukaryota; Fungi.
AAGGAGUCUAACAUAUAUGCGAGUAUUUGGGUUUUAUACCCCAUAUGCGUAAUGAAAGUGAUAAGGUUGGAUAAUUUAUUUUAGCACCAUUGACCGGUCUGGAAUCAUUUUUAUGUGACGAAUCUGAGUAAGAGCAUAUCUGUUGGGACCCGAAAGAUGGUGAACUAUGCCUGAAUAGGGUGAAGCCAGAGGAAACCCUGGUGGAGGCUCGUAGCGGCUCUGACGUGCAAAUCGAUCGUCAAAUUUGGGUAUAGGGGCGAAAGACUAAUCGAACCAUCUAGUAGCUGGUUCCC